UUAAGUGACGAUAGCCUAGGAGAUACACCUGUACCCAUGCCGAACACAGAAGUUAAGCCCUAGAACGCCGGAAGUAGUUGGGG
This 83-nucleotide ribosomal RNA is filed under the name Streptococcus pneumoniae. Lineage: Bacteria; Bacillati; Bacillota; Bacilli; Lactobacillales; Streptococcaceae. The record is from RNAcentral.